This 256-nucleotide ribosomal RNA is filed under the name uncultured bacterium. Its description in RNAcentral is "partial 16S ribosomal RNA". It matches the Rfam family "Archaeal small subunit ribosomal RNA", at positions 474 to 727 of the family's 1478-position model. The record is from RNAcentral.
UACCAGCACCCCGAGUGGUCGGGACGUUUUAUUGGGCCUAAAGCAUCCGUAGCCGGUUCUACAAGUCUUCCGUUAAAUCCACCUGCUUAACAGAUGGGCUGCGGAAGAUACUAUGGAGCUAGGAGGCGGGAGAGGCAAGCGGUACUCGAUGGGUAGGGGUAAAAAUCCGUUGAUCCAUUGAAGACCACCAGUGGCGAAGGCGGCUUGCCAGAACGCGCUCGACGGUGAGGGAUGAAAGCUGGGGGGAGCAAACCGG